This 542-nucleotide ribosomal RNA is filed under the name uncultured bacterium. RNAcentral describes it as "partial 16S ribosomal RNA". It matches the Rfam family "Bacterial small subunit ribosomal RNA", at positions 355 to 887 of the family's 1533-position model. The record is from RNAcentral.
UAGGGAAUCUUCCACAAUGGACGCAAGUCUGAUGGAGCAACGCCGCGUGAGUGAAGAAGGUUUUCGGAUCGUAAAGCUCUGUUGUUGGUGAAGAAGGAUAGAGGCAGUAACUGGUCUUUAUUUGACGGUAAUCAACCAGAAAGUCACGGCUAACUACGUGCCAGCAGCCGCGGUAAUACGUAGGUGGCAAGCGUUGUCCGGAUUUAUUGGGCGUAAAGCGAGCGCAGGCGGAAUGAUAAGUCUGAUGUGAAAGCCCACGGCUCAACCGUGGAACUGCAUCGGAAACUGUCAUUCUUGAGUGCAGAAGAGGAGAGUGGAACUCCAUGUGUAGCGGUGGAAUGCGUAGAUAUAUGGAAGAACACCAGUGGCGAAGGCGGCUCUCUGGUCUGCAACUGACGCUGAGGCUCGAAAGCAUGGGUAGCGAACAGGAUUAGAUACCCUGGUAGUCCAUGCCGUAAACGAUGAGCGCUAGGUGUUGGGGACUUUCCGGUCCUCAGUGCCGCAGCAAACGCAUUAAGCGCUCCGCCUGGGGGAGUACGACC